UAAGACGAACCGUACGAACGUUAUUCGGAAUCACUGGGCUUAAAGGGUGCGUAGGCGGUGCGGAAAGUUGGGUGUGAAAUCCCUCGGCUCAACCGAGGAAUUGCGCCCAAAACUACCGUGCUAGAGGGAGACAGAGGUGAGUGGAACUUAGGGUGGAGCGGUGAAAUGCGUUGAUAUCCUAAGGAACACCAGUGGCGAAAGCGACUCACUGGGUCUCUUCUGACGCUGAGGCACGAAAGCUAGGGGAGCAAACGGGAUUAGAUACCCCGGUAGUCCUAGCUGUAAACGAUGAGCACUGGGUUGGAGGGCCCUCCAUAGCCUUCCAGCCGAAGCGAAAGUAUUUAGUGCUCCGCCUGGGGAGUAUGGUCGCAAGGCUG
This 377-nucleotide ribosomal RNA is filed under the name uncultured bacterium. RNAcentral's name for it is "bacterial SSU rRNA". It matches the Rfam family "Bacterial small subunit ribosomal RNA", at positions 521 to 896 of the family's 1533-position model. The record is from RNAcentral.